UAAUAGAGGUGUGCUAUGAGUGGGAGGAGGAGUGACCCAAGAAAGACACAAGCCAAAAUAGUUUGAGAAGCAUACUUUCCUUUGUCUAAGGGUACAGACAUCCACCCAGGUGACUUGAAGAAUGAGUUGAUGUCUUCACCAUGGAACUACAUACAGGCUUGAAUCAGGACUUGGAGACAUUCAAGAUGGAGAUCUAGUGGACAGUGGAAAGCUGUGGGCCCAGCUGUAGCCCCAUUCCAAUUAGGUGAUGACCUACUCCUACCUUAACAAAUUUUGUCCAAAGUACUCUGUAGUGAACUUGAAUCUAGAACUAUAUAGGACUUGAGUUUAGCUAUGCUGACAGAAAACCACUAUACCCCAUGACCAGAGGCAUCUUCUAAGGUAGCUGAGAUGUGUUCAAGAACCAUGUGCUAUGCUGUGUAAUAUGACAGAUUUGGGAAGUCCAUAUGGAUGUCUCUGGCAUUAUCUAGAUUCUGUCAUCUCAUACACAGGACAACCAAGAACUAUAUACAUUCUAUUUGAAAGGUAAAUUUGAAAGAUUUUCUAUGGGGAAGUUAAACAAUUGAAAUAAUAUAGAAAGAGAUGUAUCGAUGCUAAAGAU
Molecule: long non-coding RNA, 601 nt
Organism: Bubalus bubalis (water buffalo)
Lineage: Eukaryota; Metazoa; Chordata; Mammalia; Artiodactyla; Bovidae
Exons: 2
Source: RefSeq, a predicted model, not a curated record